This 481-nucleotide ribosomal RNA is filed under the name uncultured bacterium. RNAcentral's name for it is "partial 16S ribosomal RNA". It matches the Rfam family "Bacterial small subunit ribosomal RNA", at positions 28 to 507 of the family's 1533-position model. The record is from RNAcentral.
GAUGAACGCUGGCGGCGUGCUUAACACAUGCAAGUCGAACGAAGCAUUUAGGACAGAUUACUUCGGUUUGAAGGUCUUUAUGACUGAGUGGCGGACGGGUGAGUAACGCGUGGGUAACCUGCCUUGUACUGGGGGAUAGCAGCUGGAAACGGCUGGUAAUACCGCAUAAGCGCACAAUGUUGCAUGACAUGGUGUGAAAAACUCCGGUGGUAUAAGAUGGACCCGCGUCUGAUUAGCUAGUUGGUGAGAUAACAGCCCACCAAGGCGACGAUCAGUAGCCGACCUGGGAGGGUGACCGGCCACAUUGGGACUGAGACACGGCCCAGACUCCUACGGGAGGCAGCAGUGGGGAAUAUUGCACAAUGGAGGAAACUCUGAUGCAGCGACGCCGCGUGAGUGAAGAAGUAAUUCGUUAUGGAAAGCUCUAUCAGCAGGGAAGAUAGUGACGGUACCUGACUAAGAAGCACCGGCUAAAUACGUG